GGAUGUGAGGGAGAUCUGGCUGCGACAUCUGUCACCCCAUUGAUCACCAGGGUUGAUUCCGCUGAUCUGGCUGGCUAGGCGGGUGUCCCCUUCCUCCCUCACCGCUCCAUGUGCGUCCCUCCCGAAGCUGCGCACUUGGUCGAAGAUGACUACCAUCCCCGGUAGAGGACGGGUCUUGGGUCAAGGGUAUACGAGUAGCUGCGCUCCCCUGCUAGAACCUCCAAAUAAGCUCUCAAGAAUACAGAAAGAAAAGAUAUUCCUUAAUGACAAAAUUAAGUGGCUCCAUCAGCCAAUCUCUAAACUU
This is an unclassified non-coding RNA of Dipodomys ordii (Ord's kangaroo rat), 304 nucleotides long. Its record names the gene 7SK. It matches the Rfam family "7SK RNA". From Rfam's summary of the family: 7SK was discovered as an abundant small nuclear RNA in the mid-70s but a possible function has only recently been suggested. Two independent studies have found that 7SK RNA binds the CDK9/cyclin T complex (known as elongation factor P-TEFb). P-TEFb activates transcription by phosphorylating the C-terminal domain of RNA polymerase II. Lineage: Eukaryota; Metazoa; Chordata; Mammalia; Rodentia; Heteromyidae. The record is from Ensembl.